This 463-nucleotide ribosomal RNA is filed under the name uncultured bacterium. RNAcentral's name for it is "partial 16S ribosomal RNA". It matches the Rfam family "Bacterial small subunit ribosomal RNA", at positions 339 to 795 of the family's 1533-position model. The record is from RNAcentral.
CUACGGGAGGCACCAGUGGGGAAUAUUGCACAAUGGGCGCAAGCCUGAUGCAGCCAUGCCGCGUGUAUGAAGAAGGCCUUCGGGUUGUAAAGUACUUUCAGCGGGGAGGAAGGGAGUAAAGUUAAUACCUUUGCUCAUUGACGUUACCCGCAGAAGAAGCACCGGCUAACUCCGUGCCAGCAGCCGCGGUAAUACGGGGGGUGCAAGCGUUAAUCGGAAUUACUGGGCGUAAAGCGCACGCAGGCGGUUUGUAAGUCAGAUGUGAAAUCCCCGGGCUCAACCUGGGAACUGCAUCUGAUACUGGCAAGCUUGAGUCUCGUAGAGGGGGGUAGAAUUCCAGGUGUAGCGGUGAAAUGCGUAGAGAUCUGGAGGAAUACCGGUGGCGAAGGCGGCCCCCUGGACGAAGACUGACGCUCAGGUGCGAAAGCGUGGGGAGCAAACAGGAUUAGAUACCCGCGUAGUC